UACGUAGGGUCCGAGCGUUGUCCGGAUUUAUUGGGCGUAAAGAGCUCGUAGGCGGUUCCGUAAGUCAGAUGUGAAAACUCAGGGCUCAACCCGGAGACGCCAUCUGAUACUGCGGUGACUGGAGUCUGGUAGGGGAACACGGAAUUCCUGGUGUAGCGGUGAAAUGCGCAGAUAUCAGGAGGAACACCGAUGGCGAAGGCAGUGUUCUGGGCCAGUACUGACGCUGAGACGCGAAAGCGUGGGGAGCGAACAGG
RNAcentral lists this ribosomal RNA (254 nucleotides) under uncultured bacterium. Its description in RNAcentral is "partial 16S ribosomal RNA". It matches the Rfam family "Bacterial small subunit ribosomal RNA", at positions 524 to 776 of the family's 1533-position model. The record is from RNAcentral.